RNAcentral lists this ribosomal RNA (447 nucleotides) under uncultured bacterium. RNAcentral describes it as "bacterial SSU rRNA". It matches the Rfam family "Bacterial small subunit ribosomal RNA", at positions 355 to 825 of the family's 1533-position model. The record is from RNAcentral.
UGGGGAAUAUUGGGCAAUGGGCGAAAGCCUGACCCAGCAACGCCGCGUGAAGGAUGAAGUAUUUCGGUAUGUAAACUUCGUAAGAAUAGGAAGAAUAAAUGACGGUACUAUUUGUAAGGUCCGGCUAACUACGUGCCAGCAGCCGCGGUAAUACGUAGGGACCAAGCGUUGUUCGGAUUUACUGGGCGUAAAGGGCGCGUAGGCGGUGUGUCAAGUCAGUUGUGAAAUCUCCGAGCUUAACUCGGAACGGUCAACUGAUACUGUCACACUAGAGUACAGAAGGGGCAAUCGGAAUUCUUGGUGUAGCGGUGAAAUGCGUAGAUAUCAAGAGGAACACCUGAGGCGAAGGCGGGUUGCUGGGCUGAUACUGACGCUGAGGCGCGAAAGCUAGGGUAGCAAACGGGAUUAGAUACCCCAGUAGUCCCUGAGCGGGCUGGCAAGGCGCAU